RNAcentral lists this ribosomal RNA (301 nucleotides) under uncultured bacterium. RNAcentral describes it as "partial 16S ribosomal RNA". It matches the Rfam family "Bacterial small subunit ribosomal RNA", at positions 509 to 807 of the family's 1533-position model. The record is from RNAcentral.
CAGCAGCCGCGGGAAUACGAAGGGUGCAAGCGUUACUCGGAAUUACUGGGCGUAAAGGGUGCGUAGGUGGUUUUUUAAGUCCGUUGUGAAAUCCCUGGGCUCAACCUGGGAAUGGCAGUGGAUACUGGAAAGCUAGAGUGCGGUAGAGGGUAGUGGAGUUCCCGGUGUAGCAGUGAAAUGCGUAGAGAUCGGGAGGAACACCAGUGGCGAAGGCGGCUACCUGGACCAGCACUGACACUGAAGCACGAAAGCGUGGGGAGCAAACAGGAUUAGAUACCCGCGUAGUCCCUGUCUCUUAUAC